RNAcentral lists this ribosomal RNA (622 nucleotides) under uncultured Lachnospiraceae bacterium. RNAcentral's name for it is "bacterial SSU rRNA". It matches the Rfam family "Bacterial small subunit ribosomal RNA", at positions 67 to 704 of the family's 1533-position model. Lineage: Bacteria; Bacillati; Bacillota; Clostridia; Lachnospirales; Lachnospiraceae. The record is from RNAcentral.
UUGAAGCUUCGGCAGAUUUAGCUUGUUUCUAGUGGCGGACGGGUGAGUAACGCGUGGGUAACCUGCCUUAUACUGGGGGAUAACAGCCAGAAAUGACUGCUAACACCGCAUAAGCGCACAGAACCGCAUGGUUCGGUGUGAAAAACUCCGGUGGUAUAAGAUGGACCCGCGUUGGAUUAGCUAGUUGGCAGGGCAGCGGCCUACCAAGGCGACGAUCCAUAGCCGGCCUGAGAGGGUGAACGGCCACAUUGGGACUGAGACACGGCCCAGACUCCUACGGGAGGCAGCAGUGGGGAAUAUUGCACAAUGGGGGAAACCCUGAUGCAGCGACGCCGCGUGAAGGAAGAAGUAUCUCGGUAUGUAAACUUCUAUCAGCAGGGAAGAUAAUGACGGUACCUGACUAAGAAGCCCCGGCUAACUACGUGCCAGCAGCCGCGGUAAUACGUAGGGGGCAAGCGUUAUCCGGAUUUACUGGGUGUAAAGGGAGUGUAGACGGCGCAGCAAGUCUGAUGUGAAAGGCAGGGGCUUAACCCCUGGACUGCAUUGGAAACUGUUGUGCUUGAGUGCCGGAGGGGUAAGCGGAAUUCCUAGUGUAGCGGUGAAAUGCGUAGAUAUUAGGAGG